Molecule: ribosomal RNA, 282 nt
Filed under: Triticum aestivum (bread wheat)
Lineage: Eukaryota; Viridiplantae; Streptophyta; Magnoliopsida; Poales; Poaceae
Description: partial small subunit ribosomal RNA
Source: RNAcentral
AUGGCUAUGAGAAUCCUCUCUCUGACCUCUAGCUCUUCUGGUUGUGAAAGAAAUUGGAGCGCCUUUGAAUAGAUACAUACCAAGAGAAGAAAUAGGCUCACAACGGAAUGAUGCAAUAAUUUGGUCUUCAUUAGGUUCAAUAAUAGAAUGUUGUCUAGGAAACAAAAGCUCUUGGAGAAGAAGAAAUGGGAUGUGCUCAUCAGCACCGAUGCUACCGAAGCUCAAGGAUUUCUAUUUGAAGGAGGGGAUGAUCAUGCAAAUGUUGAUGGAUGGAUGAGCUGA